UAAGCAUAUCAAUAAGCGGAGGAAAAGAAACCAACAGGGAUUGCCUCAGUAACGGCGAGUGAAGCGGCAAAAGCUCAAAUUUGAAAUCUGGCUCUUUCAGGGUCCGAGUUGUAAUUUGUAGAAGAUGUUUCGGGUGUGGUCCCAGUCUAAGUUCCCUGGAACUGGACAUCACAGAGGGUGAGAAUCCCGUAUGUGACUGGGUACCUACGUCCAUGUGAAACUCUUUCGACGAGUCGAGUUGUUUGGGAAUGCAGCUCAAAAUGGGUGGUAAAUUUCAUCUAAAGCUAAAUAUUGGCCAGAGACCGAUAGCGCACAAGUAGAGUGAUCGAAAGAUGAAAAGCACUUUGGAAAGAGAGUUAAACAGUACGUGAAAUUGUUGAAAGGGAAGGGCAUGCAAUCAGACUUGCGCCUAGUUGAUCAUCCGGGCUUUUGCCCGGUGCACUCGAUUAGGCUCAGGCCAGCAUCAGUUUAGAGGGUUGGAUAAAGGCCUUGGGAAUGUGGCCCCUCUCGGGGGGUGUUAUAGCCCAAGGUGCAAUGCAGCCACUCUGGACUGAGGACCGCGCUUCGGCUAGGAUGCUGGCGUAAUGGUUGUAUGCCGCCCGUCUUGAAACACGGACCAAGGAGUCUAACAUCUAUGCGAGUAUUUGGGUGUUAAACCCAUAUGCGUAAUGAAAGUGAACGGAGGUGAGAGCCCUUAAGGGUGCAUCAUCGACCGAUCCUGAUGUCUUCGGAUGGAUUUGAGUAAGAGCAUAGCUGUUGGGACCCGAAAGAUGGUGAACUAUGCGUGAAUAGGGUGAAGCCAGAGGAAACUCUGGUGGAGGCUCGCAGCGGUUCUGACGUGCAAAUCGAUCGUCAAAUUUGCGUAUAGGGGCGAAAGACUAAUCGAACCAUCUAGUAGCUGGUUCCUGCCGAAGUUUCCCUCAGGAA
This 927-nucleotide ribosomal RNA is filed under the name Lambertella corni-maris. Its description in RNAcentral is "eukaryotic LSU rRNA". It matches the Rfam family "Eukaryotic large subunit ribosomal RNA", at positions 35 to 979 of the family's 3401-position model. Lineage: Eukaryota; Fungi; Ascomycota; Leotiomycetes; Helotiales; Rutstroemiaceae. The record is from RNAcentral.